GUAGGCUCAGAACGGUCGGAAAUCGUUCGUCGAGUGCAWUGGCAUAAGCCUGCCUGACUGCAAGACUGACAAGUCGAGCAGAGACGAAAGUCGGUCAUAGUGAUCCGGUGGUCCCGCGUGGAAGGGCCAUCGCUCAACGGAUAAAGGUACGCCGGGAUAACAGGCUGAUGACCCCAAGAGUCCAUAUCGACGGGUUGUUUGGCACCUCGAUGUCGACUCAUCGCAUCCUGGGCUGGAGCAGGUCCCAAGGGUAUGGCUGUUCGCCAUUUAAAGCGGUACGUGAGUUGGGUUCAGAACGUCGUGAGACAGUUCGGUCCCUAUCUGCCGUGGGUGUAGGAAUAUUGACAGGAUCUGUCCCUAGUACGAGAGGACCGGGAUGGACGUAUCUCUGGUGGACCUGUUGUGGCGCCAGCCGCAUAGCAGGGUAGCUAUAUACGGACGGGAUAACCGCUGAAGGCAUCUAAGCGGGAAACCCACCUGAAAACGAGUAUUCCCUAUCAGAGCCGUGGAAGACCACCACGUUGAUAGGCCGGGUGUGGAAGUGCGGCAACGCAUGCAGCUUACCGGUACUAAUAGCUCGAUCGACUUGAUCACUCCCAUUU
RNAcentral lists this ribosomal RNA (602 nucleotides) under Brucella melitensis ADMAS-G1. RNAcentral's name for it is "bacterial LSU rRNA". It matches the Rfam family "Bacterial large subunit ribosomal RNA", at positions 2316 to 2925 of the family's 2925-position model. The record is from RNAcentral. Lineage: Bacteria; Pseudomonadati; Pseudomonadota; Alphaproteobacteria; Hyphomicrobiales; Brucellaceae.